Molecule: long non-coding RNA, 1144 nt
Organism: Sinocyclocheilus anshuiensis
Lineage: Eukaryota; Metazoa; Chordata; Actinopteri; Cypriniformes; Cyprinidae
Exons: 5
Source: RefSeq, a predicted model, not a curated record
AUAGAGUGGGGGGAACUACAAAAAAUAACUGCACUACAUUGAAGUACCACUGCAGUACAAAGUAGUAAAACUGCAGGACAAUGAAGUGCAACUGUAGAUUUGCAGUAUAAUGAAGUAUAUAACUGCAGUUCAUUAAAGUUCAACAGCAGUAAAACUGUAGUACAGUGAAGUACAACUGUAGAUUUGCAGUAUAAUGAAGUACAGAUUGCAUGUGAAGAUUUCAGAUGCAAAAACGUCUAAGUCUGUCUCAUUUAUUUACAGUAGGCGGUUGUUGUUGUUUUUUUUUAUGUAGACUCCCUAUAAAAAUAUUUGUACAAAAAUAUUUUUGUACAAAAAAUAUUUGCCUAUGGAAUAUUUCACCCACAUAGAUUAAUAGCCUGCACGUGACAAGAUCUUCCUUCGUGCUAACAGUCAUUGUCCUGACAACGAGUCUCGCGAGUAGCUGAGAUUACUGAUAACGGUAAAUCAGCGUCUUUUCCAUAGUGUCUGCUACAGGAUGGAUAUAAAAGUAUAAAAUAGGUUUUGGUUUGACAACUUCGUUCAUAUGUGAACUAUCACAAGAAAAGCAUAAAGACAUAACAACAUUACACCCCGAGGCCACUCACAAGUGGGACAAAAGAGAAGAACUGCUUUCUGGAAGAGAAGUUCAUCAGGCGAGUUGGAGCGUUGACUUUGUCGAGUCAUCCAGUUUAGCGGAGAGCUUCAACCCCUAACUGACAUGAGGAAAAAGAUAAUUGAAAAGUGUUCCAUUGAUAGUGUACCCAUCUUUGCAACAGAGGAAGCAUUAGGAGAGAGGAGAAGAGAGAAAGUGAAAAGGCACUCAACAGAUGUUGGAAAAUGCACUGAUAACAACCAAAAAAAGAAGACCAAAAAUAUCAUUCAACAGAAGUUAAUGGCUGUGGUGAAGGAAGCACUCAAAUAAUGGAACUAAGACCUGUGGGAGUGCUGGAGAAAUCAAGUGUACCAAGUCCUCUGUCUCCUCAGCCAUGUAAGAGAUCUUCAGACAUGAAGAGAUUGAGGAGUUAAUCAAAGAGCUAAAAGAAGAUUUACAAUAUUAGUGCCAAUUCAGUAUGAAAACGGAGAGAGAGCUGAGGGAGUGGAAAGAAAUGUAUGUUAUUGUGCAAGGGGUAGUUGCAUGGACUCA